GACGAACGCUGGCGGCGUGCUUAACACAUGCAAGUCGAACGGAAAGGCCCUGCUUUUGUGGGGUGCUCGAGUGGCGAACGGGUGAGUAACACGUGAGUAACCUGCCCUUGACUUUGGGAUAACUUCAGGAAACUGGGGCUAAUACCGGAUAGGAGCUCCUGCUGCAUGGUGGGGGUUGGAAAGUUUCGGCGGUUGGGGAUGGACUCGCGGCUUAUCAGCUUGUUGGUGGGGUGGUGGUUUACCAGGGUUUUGAGGGGUAGCGGGCCUGGGGGGGGGCCGGGCACAUUGGGGCUGAGAUACGGCCCAGACUCCUACGGGGGGCAGCAGUGGGGAAUAUUGCACAAUGGGCGGAAGCCUGAUGCAGCAACGCUGCGGGCGGGAUGACGGCCUUCGGGUUGGAAACCGCUUUCGCCUGUGACGAAGCGUGAGUGACGGUAAAGGGUAAAGAAGCACCGGCUAACUACGUGC
This 468-nucleotide ribosomal RNA is filed under the name uncultured bacterium. RNAcentral describes it as "partial 16S ribosomal RNA". It matches the Rfam family "Bacterial small subunit ribosomal RNA", at positions 28 to 508 of the family's 1533-position model. The record is from RNAcentral.